UUGUGCGCUUGCGCAAUGACCGCCAAGACGGGCGCGUGCGCGCUGGUGUCUAGGGCGAUGGGCGGGGUGUGGACGCCUUCGCUAUGGCAGCCCGCGAUCUUUCUCAGUCUUGGGCUUCCUGACGCCUCCAGCAAGCGAGGUCUCUUGGGCCGGUUUCGCAGUCAUGUACCCACCGCCGCCGCCGGCGCCUCACCGGGACUUCAUCUCGGUGACGCUGAGCCUGGGCGAGAGCUACGACAACAGCAAGAGCCGGCGGCGGCGCUCAUGCUGGAGGAAAUGGAAGCAACUUUCAAGGUUACAGCGGAAUGUUAUUCUCUUCCUCCUGGGCUUUCUGAUUCUCUGUGGAUUCCUGUCUUAUCUCCAGGCGGCUGACCAGUGGAAAGCGCUGAGUGGCAGACCUGCAGAAGAACAGAAGGUGAAGCCAGAAGUCCCACCUGCCCUACCAGCGCCUCAGAAGGAAAGAGCUAAACCAGAAGAUUUUCCAGAUAUAGUCCCUCAGGUAUUUCCAGUAAAGGCUAUGUGGAGUUGUCACUGGGGUCUGUUCUGGAGCAUUGCAAGUAGGCAAGUAUUGCCCAGAGAGGCUGAAGGCUUUUCCACUAUCACACUCAACCUCACACUGGCUCAGUUGAGGCUGUCUGUAUAAAGUUGGGGAAAGAAGAAGCAGACACUUGCUUCAUUCUCUUGGCACACCACCGUGGUCCAGCUUCUAUGUUAGGUGAUGGCUUCCUACUCAUAAGGAAAGAGACCUUUCUCUUUGGAGGAACCACAGGAGCUGAUAGGAAGGGCUGAUGAGAAACCUAUCUCCAGGCGGCUGACCAGUGGAAAGGUACUAGAAAUACUAGCGGUAUUAGGGUAGUGGGGGCGCAGGCUGGAGUAAGAUACAUUCUUGCCAUCCAGUUGAAACAGUACCAGGAGGCAUAUGCGGUGACAGAUGCACAAGAAAUGCAUCUAAGGGGGAAAUUCGGAGGUCAGUAUGACCACCUGGUUGUGCAGCAGACUCUGAAGGCUGCUCUCUAGGUAUUUGGUGCCAACAGUGCUGCCUCUCUUUCAGAGAAUAUCAGUCAAAAGCAUCAACACUAUUCACAUAAGUGUCCCUACCGCUUGAUACAAUGUGUUUGCCAAAGAC
RNAcentral lists this long non-coding RNA (1126 nucleotides) under Cricetulus griseus (Chinese hamster). RNAcentral's name for it is "lncRNA (ENSCGRG00000024745.1)". Lineage: Eukaryota; Metazoa; Chordata; Mammalia; Rodentia; Cricetidae. The record is from RNAcentral.